RNAcentral lists this long non-coding RNA (257 nucleotides) under Carica papaya (papaya). RNAcentral's name for it is "long non-coding RNA (CPAP_LNC006331)". The record is from RNAcentral. Lineage: Eukaryota; Viridiplantae; Streptophyta; Magnoliopsida; Brassicales; Caricaceae.
CCUUAGCUGCAAGACUCCCCCCCGGAGAAGAAGAACUAGUUGCCGGGAAGGGAUCCGACCACCACCAACCGCCGUGUCGGAGUCACCUUUGACCACCAAAAGAGAUAAAAAUUCUCCAAUUCACUCAAAAUUCGAUUUUGAACACCCGAUGGCCAAAUAAGAGAAAAAAGACCGGCGGAUGAGAUGAAAACUGUCAGUAAAAUCCAGCGGCGUCGCCGCAGGAAAAAUAAAAAAUCGCCUCCGAUGAGGUCCUUCUC